RNAcentral lists this ribosomal RNA (253 nucleotides) under uncultured bacterium. Its description in RNAcentral is "partial 16S ribosomal RNA". It matches the Rfam family "Bacterial small subunit ribosomal RNA", at positions 524 to 776 of the family's 1533-position model. The record is from RNAcentral.
UACGUAGGGGGCUAGCGUUGUCCGGAAUCAUUGGGCGUAAAGAGCGCGUAGGCGGCUAGAUAAGUCCGGUGUGAAAGUCACAGGCUCAACCUGUGAAUGCCGCUGGAAACUGUCUGGCUAGAGUCCGGAAGGGGCGAGUGGAAUUCCUGGUGUAGCGGUGAAAUGCGCAGAUAUCAGGAGGAACACCGAUGGCGAAGGCAGCCUCCUGGGAUGACACUGACGCUCAUACACGAAAGCGUGGGGAGCAAACAGG